RNAcentral lists this small RNA (180 nucleotides) under Marmota monax (woodchuck). Lineage: Eukaryota; Metazoa; Chordata; Mammalia; Rodentia; Sciuridae. The record is from RNAcentral.
GGUAAGUACUUAGAAACAAUGUCCUGAAUGUAGAAAGUACCAAGUGAAUGAUAGAUCUUAAUAAUCUAUUCACCAACAGGAAUAUCUCUGUCUUAACCUGGUGUGUGUGUGUGUGUGUGUGUGUGUGUGUGUGUGUGUACAUGUAUGAAACUGGGGAUCAAACUUAGGGGUUUUCUACCA